Molecule: ribosomal RNA, 253 nt
Filed under: uncultured bacterium
Lineage: Bacteria
Description: partial 16S ribosomal RNA
Rfam family: Bacterial small subunit ribosomal RNA
Source: RNAcentral
UACGGGGGGGGCAAGCGUUGUUCGGAAUUACUGGGCGUAAAGGGCUCGUAGGCGGCCAACUAAGUCGGAUGUGAAAUCCCCAGGCUCAACUUGGGAACUGCAUCCGAUACUGGAUGGCUUGAAUCCGGGAGAGGGAUGCAGAAUUCCAGGUGUAGCGGUGAAAUGCGUAGAUAUCUGGAGGAAUACCGGUGGCGAAGGCAGCUUACUACCCGAAUAUUGACACUGAGGCACGAAAGCGUGGGGAUCAAACAGG